AGAGUUUGAUCAUGGCUCAGAACGAACGCUGGCGGCAUGCCUAACACAUGCAAGUCGAACGCCCCGCAAGGGGAGUGGCGGACGGGUGAGUAACACGUGGGAACCUGCCCAAUGGUCUGGAAUAACCGCGGGAAACUGCGGCUAAUACCGGAUAAGCCCGAGAGGGGAAAGAUUUAUCGCCGAUGGAGGGGCCCGCGUCCGAUUAGGUAGUUGGUGGGGUAACGGCCUACCAAGCCUACGAUCGGUAGCUGGUCUGAGAGGAUGAUCAGCCACACUGGGACUGAGAUACGGCCCAGACUCCUACGGGAGGCAGCAGUGGGGAAUAUUGGACAAUGGGGGCAACCCUGAUCCAGCAAUGCCGCGUGAGUGAUGAAGGCCUUAGGGUUGUAAAGCUCUUUUGGCGGGGACGAUAAUGACGGUACCCGCAGAAUAAGCCCCGGCUAACUUCGUGCCAGCAGCCGCGGUAAUACGAAGGGGGCGAGCGUUGUUCGGAAUUACUGGGCGUAAAGGGCGCGUAGGCGGCGAUCCUAGUCAGAUGUGAAAGUCCUGGGCUUAACCUGGGGACUGCAUUUGAUACUGGAUUGCUUGAAUGCAGGAGAGGAUAGCGGAACUCCCAGUGUAGAGGUGAAAUUCGUAGAUAUUGGGAAGAACACCGGUGGCGAAGGCGGCUAUCUGGACUGUGAUUGACGCUGAGGCGCGAAAGCGUGGGGAGCAAACAGGAUUAGAUACCCUAGUAGUCC
RNAcentral lists this ribosomal RNA (740 nucleotides) under uncultured bacterium. RNAcentral's name for it is "bacterial SSU rRNA". It matches the Rfam family "Bacterial small subunit ribosomal RNA", at positions 8 to 796 of the family's 1533-position model. The record is from RNAcentral.